CAACACCAGGCCUGUCAACGGCCAGCCUCAUUGUCCACGUUCAACUGACAGUGCCGGCAGGACUUACAGCUGCUGUUACACUCGGAAAGCACUGCUCCAAGAGCCUCUCUCAGGAAUCAGGGAACACACCAAGGCAUACAGUACGUCAGAGGAACCCUCUCCAAAAAAGUGGUCCACAUUUUCUGGAGAGGGAGAAUGUUCAACAGCGCUGAACUGUGAACUGAUUUCAGCCCCUCACGCCAGUCAGGCUGUAAGUCCGCAGACAGGUCUGCUGAAGCCGGACAGUCAGGGACGAGAGCGGCGAACGGCACGACAUCCUGCUACAUUCUGCCGCUGGCUGAGGCGUUACAGGAGGAGCCAAACAUGAUAAGAAGAGCCAGCAGAUGAGUGAGGAAAGGAAGAAGAGAGCAACACUUCGCAAAGAUGACAAAAACAACUGGGAAAAAAGUGCACUGCUGAGAGAAUCCCUGCCUGUCUCCGCCGGGGCCGUGCGGCCCAAGUGCCACUCAACAUACGGUUGCCAUGGCAUCACAUUGUCCAAGACUUAUGACACUCUGGCGUAAAGCGCUCAGAGGGUCUGUGCGAUUCACAGAUUAGCAGCAAGUGAGCUGUCUUGGUCUUAUGCGAUUCCUGCCAAGGUCUCAAAGGAAAGGUGAUGGAGUUCAUAUUGUCUCACCUUUCACGUGACUGCACUGCAAAGGCCACAGAUAAAAAGUUUCUCAUUCACAUUACAUGCAGCUGUGCAAGACUACAGCUCGCUCAAGUGCGUUGUUACAGUUCAACUUUUAAAAGAUUUUAGGCAUAAAAAUGCUUUAUCAAUGAGAUAUUCCCAUUUUUCAUUUUAAAAUGAUCAAUAAAGAAACAUUUACAAUUAGAUGUGGAGUAAAUGCUCUAAUUCUGAAUGACAAAAGUUCUAUAGGACAGAUGAGGCCCUAGGAAAAUAAGGGGCCACAGCUAACAACUCACUCUGACUUGGGAAAAACCUAACAUUCCAGGCAAAUAAUAAAUUUCCCAGUUUUACAGCAUGUGAAUCUGCUUAAAGAACAAAAUACUAUUCUCUUUCUUGGAUUAAUUCUGCAUUCACAAACUGGAUAGAAAAACAGGCACGCAUUCAACCUUUCAACUACCAAUCCAAUGUAAACCACUGAAAACCUGAAACAGCAAUUUGUGUUACACAGCUAUCGCUUUCUAUUCUAC
Molecule: long non-coding RNA, 1197 nt
Filed under: Lepisosteus oculatus (spotted gar)
Lineage: Eukaryota; Metazoa; Chordata; Actinopteri; Semionotiformes; Lepisosteidae
Description: lncRNA (ENSLOCG00000021886.1)
Source: RNAcentral